AAAAACAUCGUCGACCCGGAAGACCCCAGGUGUGCCCGGUUGACGCUCACUGGCCGGAUGAUGGCGGUGUCUCCAGAAGAAGUAGAAUUUGCCAAGCAGGCCAUGUUUUCAAGUGACAAUGACCAGCACCCACUGAGCACCUGCUCUCUGCCAGUGUUUUAUGCAUACAUCACUGCUCCCCACAUAGCCCUAUGAUCCGAGCACCAUCAACAUCACCCACAGGACAGACACCCAGGGAUGAGGAAGUGGCCUCGUCAGUAUGAAUGGUUCUUUAUGAAGAUGAGGAUAGAACAUAUCUGGCUUCAGAAAUGGUAUGGAGGAGUCUCCGACAUUUCAAGGGAAGAAUAUUUCAAAGCAGUUCCCAGAAAGGCCUGAUGGAGUAAGAAGACCCUCGGCAUUUGUGUUCAAAUAAAAACAUUUUAAGUGAUGCUGCCAGACAGCUGUCGACCGCUGUCUCUUUGCUGCAGGGUUCAGAGAGCCCUGUCAUCCCUAUAGCAGAAUGAGAGAGGGAGAACAGGGAAGCCUGUGCUGGAUUUGAGAUGAAAGUGGUCGCUUGCAGAUCCCCGACUCACAUAGGUACUUCACAUAGAUAGUCUUUGUUUACGUUGUAUUCGAUCCAGACUCACCUAUUUGGAAGUCAUCGUUGGUUGUCAAGAUGACAUGUUGAGACCGUUGCUGUUCCAUUGUUUAAGGAAACAUGAUGCCUGUACAUACAAUGUGA
Galeopterus variegatus (Sunda flying lemur) is the source of this 721-nucleotide long non-coding RNA. RefSeq lists it as uncharacterized. Lineage: Eukaryota; Metazoa; Chordata; Mammalia; Dermoptera; Cynocephalidae. The transcript has 3 exons. The record is from RefSeq and is a predicted model, not a curated record.